AUUAGGAUGACUGAAAAAGUAAUAAACUGUAAAUUUAUCCAUGAAUAUAUAAUAUAUUCUCCUGAUA
RNAcentral lists this transfer RNA (67 nucleotides) under Paphnutius ruficeps. RNAcentral's name for it is "tRNA-Tyr". Lineage: Eukaryota; Metazoa; Arthropoda; Insecta; Hemiptera; Cercopidae. The record is from RNAcentral.